This 78-nucleotide transfer RNA is filed under the name Thermoprotei archaeon. Its description in RNAcentral is "tRNA-Val". The record is from RNAcentral. Lineage: Archaea; Thermoproteati; Thermoproteota; Thermoprotei.
GGGCCCGUGGUCUAGCGGCUAUGACACCCGCCUGACACGCGGGGGGUCCCGGGUUCGAAAAAAGAAACGGAAAACCCG